UACGGAGGGUGCGAGCGUUGUUCGGAAUCACUGGGCGUAAAGCGCGUGUAGGCGGCCCAUUAAGUCUGAUGUGAAAGCCCGGGGCUCACCCCCGGAAGUGCAUUGGAAACUGAUGGGCUCGAGUCCCGGAGAGGAGGGUGGAAUUCCUGGUGUAGCGGUGAAAUGCGCAGAUAUCAGGAGGAACACCAGUAGCGAAGGCGGUUCUCUGGGCCGGUACUGACGCUGAGGAGCGAAAGCGUGGGGAGCAAACAGG
RNAcentral lists this ribosomal RNA (253 nucleotides) under uncultured bacterium. RNAcentral's name for it is "partial 16S ribosomal RNA". It matches the Rfam family "Bacterial small subunit ribosomal RNA", at positions 524 to 776 of the family's 1533-position model. The record is from RNAcentral.